AGAGCAGACCAAACGCCAAUGCAGAAGGCUCAAGAAAGAGGCAAACAGACUAGCCACUGCUCCAGGAUGACUGUGGCUCUUUAUGAGUGAAGAGAAAGGGUGGAGACUGAAGACAGAACUGGGGACAGUGACAGGCUUGGGGAAGAACAGCUGAUUCAGCAGUCCCAAGGGACUGGCUUAAAAAUGGUCUAAUGAAAUGUCAAAAGAGUUCUCCUGUGGAGCUUCGGAGAAGUUUCCUUACCCUUUAAAAAAAGAAAAGAAGAAAAGGAAAAGGGACCUCGGUGACAACGCUGUGAACAUCUAUGGAUUCCGCAUUCAAGUACUUUGUCACAACUGUCUCCACAAGUUGGUACAUCUUCUGUACAAGGCAAAGAAAACUCUAAAAACAUACAAAAAGUCAAUGUUAAUAAUGAGACAUUAUUAUUAAACAUCAACAAAG
Molecule: long non-coding RNA, 439 nt
Filed under: Homo sapiens (human)
Lineage: Eukaryota; Metazoa; Chordata; Mammalia; Primates; Hominidae
Description: novel transcript, antisense to CORIN and NFXL1
Source: RNAcentral